GACGAACUGUCCAAACGUUGUUCGGAAUCACUGGGCUUAAAGGGCGCGUAGGCGGUCGAUCAAGUCAGGGGUGAAAUCCUGCAGCUUAACUGUAGAAGUGCCUUUGAUACUGGUCGUCUGGAGGGAGGUAGGGGUGUGUGGAACUUCCAGUGGAGCGGUGAAAUGCGUUGAUAUUGGAAGGAACGCCGGAGGCGAAAGCGACGCACUGGACCUCUUCUGACGCUGAGGCGCGAAAGCUAGGGGAGCAAACGGG
This 253-nucleotide ribosomal RNA is filed under the name uncultured bacterium. Its description in RNAcentral is "partial 16S ribosomal RNA". It matches the Rfam family "Bacterial small subunit ribosomal RNA", at positions 524 to 776 of the family's 1533-position model. The record is from RNAcentral.